AGAAACCCUUGUGGGUACAGAUAGAGGAAUGCCAUGACCUCUUAACUUUGCUUGGGAUUUUGAGAGUUAAUUAAAAAUCUGCAAAGGCCAAUAAUACUGUUUCUGUGUUUCAUAAGCCCAUUUGUGAGACUGAUUCAGUUUUCUCCCUUUUGUCUCUCAGGGAUCGCAGGUGGGGCACUGCUGCUUCUCCUGGUUACCAUCAUUAUCUCGAGGAUUAUGUCUAAGCAGAAUGCAGGCUAUUACUAUACACAUGAAAACUGCAAGUACCGGAUGCCUUUGGCCCACAUAACUGAACAAAAAAAUUCAUUUGCACCAUAGCAGGCAGGAAACCACUUCUCCACGCAAAAUGCACACCAUGAGGAGAACAUGGAAGCAUUUCCUUCACCUUCUUUGUGGGUAAUUUACAUUCUUGCAAUGAAGUUCUCUAGGGGAAAACGCAAAGCCACAGCAUAUACCUGACGACGUUAUGCAGCUGCUUCCUUUAGAUCCUUAUAGCAGUUUAGUUCAUGAAGUUCAACUUUACACAGCACCAGACUGUAGCUUUUAGGCUGCCCUCCUGCUGUUUGUCCACGAAAACGUCUUGCGUGCAGACUUCUGAGAUGAACAACCACCCUGCAGCAUCAAGGAUGCUCACUCCUCAGAUUAUGCUCUGGCCUUCUUUCCCUUUCAUGGAACUUCUUGUUUCUGACCAGUUGACUAAGCAAUCUAACACCAGGAAGAGGAGAUGACGCAAGUGCUGCUGAGCCUGCCUUGAUAAGAAAUUGCAAGCACAAAACCCUGAACUUCCUUCUGAGCAUGCUUCAUUAACUGCCACAGCGGUCUUCUUGAAAAGUUUCGGAAGGCUGUGUGUGAAAGGAACCUUAAUUUUGAGGAGUUGCUGGAUUUUAUAAAAGGGCUUCAUGACUGCCAACCCUGUAUCUCUUUCCUUUUACUUGCUCUUCAAAGACACAGCACUUAAUGUUCUUCACCUUAUAGUAGAGAUACAAUCAACUUCUUUUACAACCCCUUGUAAUUUUUAACCCCUCUAAAAAUAACUCAGAUGAAAUUUUGCUUUCAAUAUUUAAUUUUUUCUUCUUGGAUCCCUUACUUUAAAAUGACUUCAUGGGCGUGAAACUACAGAUUAAACUUUUUA
This is a non-coding RNA of Caretta caretta (loggerhead turtle), 1132 nucleotides long. The record is from RefSeq and is a predicted model, not a curated record. Lineage: Eukaryota; Metazoa; Chordata; Testudines; Cheloniidae.